UAUAUUAUUAGGCAAAUUUAAUAUACUUAAAUCAUUAAAAAGAGAAAUGAUUCAAACUAACAAUUUAGCGUUGAAAAAUAACAAACAUUACUUUACUAAGGGUGAAAAAUGUAUUUUUUUUCACGUCAUUGCCAUUUUUGUCGGCAUUCUAAUAUUGAUAGUAAUAUACUUCAUUCAUCUUUGCUUUGUAAAACAUGACCUUUACGACGUUCUUAAAUUUAGACGUUUCAGUUCGGCAGAUGGAAAAGCAGAAUACAUUCCAGUUGGUGCAGUCUUCUUAGAUACAUCCCAACCAAAAUCUGUUUGCAAUUCUUUACUACUUCGCAAGCAAUGGUCUUUAGUGCCGGGGAACUGUGCGGCUAUGCGAAAUGAUCCUGAUUUAUCCAUGAUGCUACCAUAUUGGAGGAUACAAUAUGUCCUGAUGGAAACUAAUAACAUAGGCUAGUUUUUUUUAAUAUAAAAUAUAGUAACCACGGAUAUUAUAAAAAGUUUACCGCAUCCACAUUUUAACAGACAAAAUAUGUACCACAACGUGGGUUUACUUGAACAUGGGACGUGUUUUGACACAGGCUUCGACUUUUUAACAUCCAAUGUUGCAGGAGAAUACAUAAAUAAUAGCAAUACUAUAAAAAAAAACAUAAAAAUUGCAAGUUGGAACUGGAACAAAAAAAAUGCACUGGAUCCUUCAAUAAAAAUUACAACGCUAAAGUUUAUUCCCAAUGAAGUAUGUUAUAAAUUAUGGUCAUUCAUCACAAAUUUUAGGCCAUAUGAAUUUUGUCUAAGCAUUGAAAAUGAAAAGGAGGACAAUUUGUGUUUUGAACAUGGCGCAUUAUUAUUAUUGAAAAACAAAAUUGUGGGUUUCUUCUCGUGGGGCGCAAGAUGUGGAAAUGGAGACCAAUCGCCGGUGAUUGCUGCUAAUAUUCUAAGCUUUAAAGACUGGCUAAAAGAUAUGAUGAAAAUGUAAUAAGUACUUAUUAAUUUUGUAAUUUCUUAAUAUAUACCGACAGAAUCAAAUAUACAAAUUUUUCAUA
Non-coding RNA from Plutella xylostella (diamondback moth), 1031 nucleotides. Lineage: Eukaryota; Metazoa; Arthropoda; Insecta; Lepidoptera; Plutellidae. The record is from RefSeq and is a predicted model, not a curated record.